Molecule: ribosomal RNA, 292 nt
Filed under: uncultured eukaryote
Lineage: Eukaryota
Description: partial 18S ribosomal RNA
Rfam family: Archaeal small subunit ribosomal RNA
Source: RNAcentral
GGUUGAUCCUGCCGGACCCCACUGCUAUCGGGAUAGGACUAAGACAUGCUAGUCGAACUCUCCAGCCAACACGGAGCGUGGCGCACAGCUCAGUAACACGUGGCUAACCUGCCCUUGGGACAAGAACAACCCCGCGAAAGUGGGGCUAAUUCUCGAUAGGCGAAGAACUCUGGAAUGAGUCUUCACCCAAACAGCGUAGAGUUAUGCUCUUUACUCCGCCCAAGGAUGGGGCCGCGACCGAUCAGGUUGUUGGUGAGGUAAUGGCUCACCAAGCCUUUAACCGGUGCGGGCC